This 584-nucleotide ribosomal RNA is filed under the name uncultured bacterium. Its description in RNAcentral is "partial 16S ribosomal RNA". It matches the Rfam family "Bacterial small subunit ribosomal RNA", at positions 355 to 937 of the family's 1533-position model. The record is from RNAcentral.
UGGGGAAUUUUGGACAAUGGGCGCAAGCCUGAUCCAGCCAUGCCGCGUGCGGGAAGAAGGCCUUCGGGUUGUAAACCGCUUUUGUCAGGGAAGAAAUCUUCUGAGUUAAUACCUCGGGAGGAUGACGGUACCUGAAGAAUAAGCACCGGCUAACUACGUGCCAGCAGCCGCGGUAAUACGUAGGGUGCAAGCGUUAAUCGGAAUUACUGGGCGUAAAGCGUGCGCAGGCGGUUUUGUAAGACAGAGGUGAAAUCCCCGGGCUCAACCUGGGAACUGCCUUUGUGACUACAAGGCUUGAGUGCGGCAGAGGGGGAUGGAAUUCCGCGUGUAGCAGUGAAAUGCGUAGAUAUGCGGAGGAACACCGAUGGCGAAGGCAAUCCCCUGGGCCUGCACUGACGCUCAUGCACGAAAGCGUGGGGAGCAAACAGGAUUAGAUACCCUGGUAGUCCACGCCCUAAACGAUGUCAACUGGUUGUUGGGAAGGUUCCUUCUCAGUAACGUAGCUAACGCGUGAAGUUGACCGCCUGGGGAGUACGGCCGCAAGGUUGAAACUCAAAUGAAUUGACGGGGUCAUAGCUGUUUCC